GACGAACCGAGCGAACGUUAUUCGGAAUCACUGGGCUUAAAGGGCGCGUAGGCGGGUGAUCAAGUCAGGGGUGAAAGCCUCCAGCUUAACUGGAGAAGUGCCUCUGAUACUGGUCGUCUCGAGGGGGAUAGGGGCAUGCGGAACUUCCGGUGGAGCGGUGAAAUGCGUAGAUAUCGGAAGGAACACCGGUGGCGAAAGCGGCGUGCUGGGUCCCUUCUGACGCUGAGGCGCGAAAGCCAGGGGAGCGAACGGG
Molecule: ribosomal RNA, 253 nt
Filed under: uncultured bacterium
Lineage: Bacteria
Description: partial 16S ribosomal RNA
Rfam family: Bacterial small subunit ribosomal RNA
Source: RNAcentral